This 497-nucleotide ribosomal RNA is filed under the name uncultured bacterium. RNAcentral describes it as "partial 16S ribosomal RNA". It matches the Rfam family "Bacterial small subunit ribosomal RNA", at positions 28 to 507 of the family's 1533-position model. The record is from RNAcentral.
GACGAACGCUGGCGGCGUGCCUAAUACAUGCAAGUUGAGCGAGGAAGAUUGGUGCUUGCACCAAUUUGAAGAGCACCGAACGGGUGAGUAACGCGUGGGGAAUCUGCCUUUGAGCGGGGGACAACAUUUGGAAACGAAUGCUAAUACCGCAUAAUAACUUUAAACAUAAGUUUUAAGUUUUAAAGAUGCAAUUGCAUCACUCAAAGAUGAUCCCGCGUUGUAUUAGCUAGUUGGUGGGGUAAAGGCUCACCAAGGCGAUGAUACAUAGCCGACCUGAGAGGGGGAUCGGCAUAGCUGGUAUGGAGAGACGACCCAACCUCCUAGGGGAGGCAGCCGUAGGGGAUCUUCGGGGAUGGCAGAAAUGCGGAACGUUGAACGAUGCGUGAGUGAAGAAGGUUUUCGGACCGUAAAACUCUGUAAGUAGAGAAGAUUGUUGGUGAGAGUGGAAAGCUCAUAAAGUGACGGUAACUACCCAGAAAGGUACGGCUAACUCCGUG